This 525-nucleotide small RNA is filed under the name Histoplasma capsulatum var. duboisii H88. Its description in RNAcentral is "Histoplasma capsulatum H88 hypothetical RNA". Lineage: Eukaryota; Fungi; Ascomycota; Eurotiomycetes; Onygenales; Ajellomycetaceae. The record is from RNAcentral.
GAUAAAAUGACCUUUGGUUAAAAAGGAGGAGAAAAACAAGAAUGUAAUGAGGAAUCAUGCAGAGAGAGAGGAGAAGAAUCAGAUUUCAUAUACUCUAACAGUUCCUUAUCCUUUAUCUAAGGAGAGCUAACUAUUGACAAAAAAACCUGCAAUUACAGAGCUGCAUCUCGUUGCAUCCAUCCAUCCAUCCAUUCCUGAAAACGAAAUAAAAAUAGAAAACACAAAAUCCUGCAAUAAGCGCCUUUGAGCUAUUGAAGGAAAGGUCAGAAAAUCGAAAAACACCUCAGCAACAAAGGGGAAUUUCCGGGAGUUCAAUCAGCCAAACACCCUCCAUCGCCAACCACGCCCAACCAAAAGCCAUGAAACGAAACAAAGAAAAACGAUGCGGAAAGAAUAAAGGGGAAAAGUGGAAGCAAAAAUAAAAAGCAAAAAAGCAAAAAUCUUCCUCCAAUUUCAAUCCCUCUACAUCACACCUCCCCCACCUCCUGUCGCCAUCCUCGCGAAAUCCUUCGGCACCUCCCACCC